Long non-coding RNA from Patella vulgata (common limpet), 558 nucleotides. RefSeq lists it as uncharacterized. Lineage: Eukaryota; Metazoa; Mollusca; Gastropoda; Patellidae. The record is from RefSeq and is a predicted model, not a curated record. The transcript is spliced from 3 exons.
AGAAGCAAUGAAAUGAAAUGAAAUGGGGUUUAACGUCCUACUCUUCUGCACCUAACCUGGGCUAAUUGAAGACGGGCAUACGCCAUACAGUCUGCUAUGAGGGAAAUUUUGCCUGGGCAGCGGCGCUACGGCCUACUCUUAUAUCGAAUUCCAUCUGCCAAGGGAUCUUUUACGUGCACGCCAAUGUGUACACGGGACCUCGGUUUUUCGUCCCAUCCGAACGACUAGGCAGCUGUCCUUGUCAGGCCCUCCGUUCUGCAUCACUGACAAGGGGAAAUCACGCCGGAAAAUCGAGAUGAACUUUCUCGGCCAAUGCAGGGAUCGAACACCCGACCUCCAGGCUAGCGAGCCAGCGCCUUGCCCACUUAGCCACGUGAUCCCCCCAUGGCAGAAGCGUACGACGUCCUGGAAUUUCAAGAACUUGACGGUGUAAUAGAUCUUUUCUUUGCUAAAGAUUUGUUUGAGACAUCUCAACCUGUCGUUCCAGUAGCAUCCGCGGAACAUCCGAACAAAACACAAUUCGCGCCAGGCAUUUUGUUAGUGCGAGCAGAAACCGGA